UACGGAGGGUGCAAGCGUUAUCCGGAUUCACUGGGUUUAAAGGGUGCGUAGGUGGGCUGGUAAGUCAGUGGUGAAAUCUCCGGGCUUAACUCGGAAACUGCCGUUGAUACUAUCUAUCUUGAAUAUCGUGGAGGUAAGCGGAAUAUGUCAUGUAGCGGUGAAAUGCUUAGAUAUGACAUAGAACACCCAUUGCGAAGGCAGCUUACUACACGAUCAUUGACACUGAGGCACGAAAGCGUGGGGAGCAAACAGG
Molecule: ribosomal RNA, 253 nt
Filed under: uncultured bacterium
Lineage: Bacteria
Description: partial 16S ribosomal RNA
Rfam family: Bacterial small subunit ribosomal RNA
Source: RNAcentral